UACGUAGGGUGCGAGCGUUGUCCGGAAUUAUUGGGCGUAAAGAGCUCGUAGGCGGUCAGUCGCGUCUGCUGUGAAAACUCGGGGCUUAACUCCGGGCCUGCAGUGGGUACGGGCUGACUAGAGUGCGGUAGGGGAGACUGGAAUUCCUGGUGUAGCGGUGAAAUGCGCAGAUAUCAGGAGGAACACCGGUGGCGAAGGCGGGUCUCUGGGCCGUAACUGACGCUGAGGAGCGAAAGCGUGGGGAGCGAACAGG
RNAcentral lists this ribosomal RNA (253 nucleotides) under uncultured bacterium. RNAcentral describes it as "partial 16S ribosomal RNA". It matches the Rfam family "Bacterial small subunit ribosomal RNA", at positions 524 to 776 of the family's 1533-position model. The record is from RNAcentral.